RNAcentral lists this long non-coding RNA (639 nucleotides) under Gadus morhua (Atlantic cod). Its description in RNAcentral is "lncRNA (ENSGMOG00000033536.1)". Lineage: Eukaryota; Metazoa; Chordata; Actinopteri; Gadiformes; Gadidae. The record is from RNAcentral.
AUGCACUGGGAGAAACCACCAAAGGAAAAGCUGUGCUACCCUCCGCCCACGGUGAAGGAGCUCCUGGAGCAGAAGAGGAAGCGGGAGGCUCUGUGUGAGGAUCCUUCAGAGGGUCAGUCCUGCUCGCUGGCAGGAACCAGCCCUGAGGCCUUCACUGCACCGCCGAGCUCCUCAGCAGCCCAGUCCACGAGUUCUACAGGGGCCCCAGCCGAAUACCCAGACAUGGCCCUGAGCGAGCAGCAUUGGGCCCCGUCAGCAGAGAUUUACUACGGCCCUGGGUCUCUGUGGACCACCUACCCGGCCCCGGCCAGCGGCCCGGCCCCGGCCGGCUACAGCCUCCCGCUGGAGGGGUACCAAGCCGCCGCCAUGCCCCACACAUACGUAAGCCCUGUCCUCAGCCGUCGCAGAGGGCCCCUUCAUAGAGGGCCCCUUCGAAGAGGGCCCCUUCGUAGAGGGCCCCUUCAUAGAGGGCCCCUUCGAAGAAGGCCCCUUCGAAGAGGGCCCCUUCGUAGAGGGCCCCUUCGUAGAGGGCCCCUUCGUAGAGGGCCCCUUCGUAGAGGGCCCCUUCGAAGAGGGCCCCUUCGUAGAGGGCCCCUUCAUAGAGGGCCGCUGCUAGUCCAAAACAAUGUAAUUUUGUAA